RNAcentral lists this transfer RNA (73 nucleotides) under Camelus bactrianus (Bactrian camel). It matches the Rfam family "tRNA". Rfam says of the family: Transfer RNA (tRNA) molecules are approximately 80 nucleotides in length. Their secondary structure includes four short double-helical elements and three loops (D, anti-codon, and T loops). Lineage: Eukaryota; Metazoa; Chordata; Mammalia; Artiodactyla; Camelidae. The record is from Rfam by way of RNAcentral. RNAcentral also lists the same sequence under 2 other names.
GGGGGUAUAGCUCAAGUGGGAGAGUGCGUGUUUGCAUGCAAGAGGUCCUGGGUUCAAUCCCCAGGUACCUCCU